RNAcentral lists this ribosomal RNA (3406 nucleotides) under Ambystoma mexicanum (axolotl). RNAcentral's name for it is "eukaryotic LSU rRNA". The stretch from base 1652 to 3406 matches the Rfam family "Eukaryotic large subunit ribosomal RNA". Lineage: Eukaryota; Metazoa; Chordata; Amphibia; Caudata; Ambystomatidae. The record is from RNAcentral.
CUCCCAUGUACCCAUGUGGGUUCAUUCAGCCUUCACAGGACUAAGGACCCUGCCCCAGUCGAUCUAGCUCCCCGGGCUGUCUGCCUGGCGCUGGUGUGGCUCUGCGGGCUCCGGUGGCCACUCUUGCUGGUCCCCACUUUCAUGGGGCAACCCCGUACACCUUCAUCUGCAGUUACCUCUUGCGGCCACCUCGGGCACGUUGUCUGCGUCUCUUUGUUCCCACUUCAGGCGGCUGCAAGUCUCUGUGUUUCUGUCUAAGCCUGUCUGUGCCGCUCGGGUGGCUGGAUCAGCAUUCGUAAAUCAAUCAUAGGCAUGUCUUGUUCUUCGUUGUGCUAUUGUGUUUACUAGCCUCCACAGGAUGGUUUAGUGGAGUUUGUUGCAGGUUGGGUUGCCGAUGUGUGCCUGCGCCUCUUCGUCUCACGGUGCGGCGCUGGGUUUAUUGUGUCAUGGGCAUUUCAGCUUAUCAGCUGUCUGUGAGCAGCAACAGUGCUCUUUUCUCUCCUCCCAUCACCUCGUUAAAGGAGACGGACGCUCCCAGCGUCGCCUCCCUCUGAUCGAUCCGCUUGGUGCACAGCGUACCGGGCAGCUCCCUGCGUCUAUAUACACGCGCGCAUUGGCGCCAUUUUGAAUGCGCUAUCCAAGCUCCGCAUCGCAGCCCAUUCAAAGAAUUGCUUGGCAACGUGAUAGUUAGUUCAAUAUAAGUCAGUAGUGCUCUGGUCGCCACCGGUUCAUUCUAGUUACUGGUUCCACAUUCCACCAUGCAAUAGUUCCAUGUUUGCAGGGUCAGCGCUCUGCAUGACCCUGCCCUGUGCUGCAAUUGCAAGAUCAACUCCCUUGUCCCCGGUGGAUGCGUGAACUUAUACACGUUGCAAAGGGUAAUAUGAUUAAGCUGGCAUCUGUUUUGCUAGGAGCUGCUAUCACAUCUAAUCAGGGUCCCCCCUGUGUGCCUCCGUCAGGUCUCAGGCAACCCUUAGGCUGUGCUCGGCUUUAUUAUCAGUGAAACUUGAUUGCAUCCGUUUCAGGGUCUUCCUGUGUGGCACUCCGUAUACUAAGCUGGCCCUGUACAUCCGUGUUAUUGCGUUACCUUCGGUCCGGAUGGCCGCAACACGGAGCCUGCAGCCGUGGACACCAUGCGCGACCCGAAAAGCUGCCCUGUCAUAGGCCUGUCUAAUGACCAAGUCUCCACUGCGGCUGCAAGCGAAACCGCCCAUAAUGCUUGGACGGCUCACACGCCGUCACUUCGCUACAGCUGCUUGUGGGCACGCCGGUGCCUCGUAUGUGUUGCGCAUACACUGCCGAGUAUUGCAGUGUAUAUUGUACUGUCACUUAUUCAUGGGUGAGCAGCCUUGUAGUCUAUCACGCAUACACGCGGACUGCUUGGGGUUCCAGUCCCGUUUCGUCGCGCACCGGGCAUGCGCUUUUCAAUCACGGCACUGUUCGUUUGCCGUUUUACUCCGACGUCGGGCUUCUCCCCCGGGUCCCGCGCUGUGGCCACAGGGGGUCUUCACAGCUCUGCUCUACUCGCGGCCCCUUCUGGCAGACCCGAUCUGAGCGCAGCUCUCUCUCCUACAACGGGCUGCUCGCGAGUCAGCUGUCCUCCACAUCUCUUUGUUGUUGGCGGAUCGCCAUUUUAGAUUCCUCACAAGCGCACCGCCACAAAAUUCUUCCGGCUGAUUUCGCUCGCAUCACAGCGCUGAUCCUCACCAUCUCCAGCUCCAGUUGGGCAGUGUUCAGUUCAUGAACUCGGGCAAACGAUGUAUUCAGACCAGGAUGGUUUCAAUGUGUCACAUUUUCUCGGAUCAUUUCAGGAUCAUCAGGAGCCUCCUUGGAAACACGUCCUCCUACAUGGCUCUGUAGCCACGCCCCCAGCCGCACAGAGAGUUCUUUUCUUUUCUUUGUGAGGGGCAGGGCACCCUGGAAUGGGUUUGCCCCGAGAAAGGGGCCCGAGCUUUGCAAAGCGUCGCUGUUCCGGCGGCGUCCGGUGAGCUCCCGCUGGUCCUUAAAAAUCUGGGUGAGAUUUUGUAAAUCUCGCGCCAGGCCGUACCCAUAUCCGCAGCAUGUCUCCAAGGCGGACAACCUCUGGCAUGUCAGAACAAUGUAGGUACGGGAAGUCAGCCUCUGGAUGCGAGCCGGUCCCUUCCUGGGGAUCACCCCAGCUGCAGUGUUCGCCAAUCUUGUUCUUCCUCUGGGGGUUCAGGGCCGGCAUUCUGCCUCGGCGACACCUAGCAGCUGACUUGGAACUGGUGCGGACCAGGGGAAUCUGACUGUUUAAUUAAAACAAAGCAUUGCGAAGGCCUGUGGAGGGUGUUGACGCAAUGUGAUUUCUGCCAAGUGCUCCUAAUGUCAAAGUGAAGAAAUUCAAUGAAGCGUGGGUAAACGGAUGGGGUAACUAUGACCUUUAAGGUAUCCACAUGCCUCGUCAUCUUUCUGAGAUUCCCACUGUCCCUAUCUACUAUCUAGCGAAACCACAGCCAAGGGAACAAGCUUGGCAGAAUCGUCGGGGAAAGAAGACCCGGUUGAGUUUGACUCUAGUCUGGCACUGUGAAGAGACAUGAGGUAGGAUAAGUGGGAGGCCCUCGGGCCGCUGGUGAAAUACCACUACUCUUAUUGUUUUUCCACUUACCCGGUGAGGCGGGGGGCGAGCCCCAUGGGGCUCUCGCUUCUGGCUCCAAGCACCCGGCACCUGCGGGCACGACCCGCUCCGGGGACAGUGGCAGGUGGGGAGUUUGACUGGGGUGGUACACCCUGUCAAAGGAUAACGCAGGUGUCCUAAGGCGAACUCAAGGAGGACAGAAACCUCCCGCGGAGCAGACGGGCAAAAGCUAGCUUGAUCUCGAUUUUUCAGUAUGAAUAUAGACCGUGAAAGCAGGGCUUCACGAUCCUGCUGACUUUUGGGUUUCAAGCAGGAGGUAUCAGAAAGUUACCACAGGGAUAACUGGCUUGUGGCGGCCAAGCCUUCAUAGCGACGUCGCUUUUUGAUCCUUCGAUGUCGACUCUUCCUAUCAUUGUGAAACAGAUUUCACCAAGCAUCGGAUUGUUUACCCACUAAUAGGGAACGUGAGGUGGAUUUAGACCGUUGUGAGACAGGUUAGUUUUACCCUACUGAUGAUGUGUUGUUGCAAUAGUAAUCCUGUUCAGUACGAGAGGAACCGCAGGUUCAGACAUUUGGUGUGCAUGCUUGGCUGAGGAGCCAAUGGGGUGAAGCUACCAUCUGUGGGAUUAUGACUGAACGCCUCUACGUCCAAAAUCCCCCCCUCCACCCCAGACCGUGAUACUGCAGCGCUGUCGAGCAUCAGUUAGCUUAGGACAGCCGGCCUUGGGGCUGGUGUGUAGAGCCGCUUGCCUCAGGACUUGAGUGUGGACAGAAUGGGGGCCACCUCUCUCACCCAUAGUGCACCGCAUGUUU